UAGGGCCUACGGGACGCAGCAGUGAGGAAUAUUGGUCAAUGGUCGGGAGACUGAACCAGCCAAGCCGCGUGAGGGAUGAAGGUACAGAGUAUCGUAAACCUCUUUUGUCAGGGAACAAAGGCGGGGACGCGUCCCCGGAUGAGUGUACCUGAAGAAAAAGCAUCGGCUAACUCCGUGCCAGCAGCCGCGGGAAUACGGAGGAUGCGAGCGUUAUCCGGAUUUAUUGGGUUUAAAGGGUGCGCAGGCGGUAUGUUAAGUCAGCGGUCAAAGCCCGGGGCGCAACCCCG
This 287-nucleotide ribosomal RNA is filed under the name uncultured bacterium. Its description in RNAcentral is "partial 16S ribosomal RNA". It matches the Rfam family "Bacterial small subunit ribosomal RNA", at positions 333 to 617 of the family's 1533-position model. The record is from RNAcentral.